CGGGCAAUAGCGCAGAUGGUUAGCGUACUAGUCUGGGGGACUAGGGGUCGGCGGUUCGACUCCGCCUUGCCCGA
This is a non-coding RNA of Spirochaetes bacterium GWC1_61_12, 74 nucleotides long. The record is from Rfam. NCBI's taxonomy places the organism in Bacteria, Pseudomonadati, Spirochaetota.